UACGGAGGAUCCAAGCGUUAUCCGGAAUUACUGGGCGUAAAGAGUUGCGUAGGUGGCAUAGUAAGCCGGUAGUGAAAGCGUGGGGCUCAACCCCAUACACAUUAUCGGAACUGCUAAGCUAGAGGAUGAGAGAGGUUAUUGGAAUUCCCUGUGUAGGAGUGAAAUCCGUAGAUAUAGGGAGGAACACCGAUGGCGUAGGCAGAUAACUGGCUCAUUCCUGACACUAAGGCACGAAAGCGUGGGGAGCAAACGGGAUUAGAAACCCGUAGUAGUCC
This 275-nucleotide ribosomal RNA is filed under the name uncultured prokaryote. Its description in RNAcentral is "partial 16S ribosomal RNA". It matches the Rfam family "Bacterial small subunit ribosomal RNA", at positions 524 to 796 of the family's 1533-position model. The record is from RNAcentral.